This 301-nucleotide ribosomal RNA is filed under the name Vibrio cholerae. Its description in RNAcentral is "partial 23S ribosomal RNA". It matches the Rfam family "Bacterial large subunit ribosomal RNA", at positions 322 to 629 of the family's 2925-position model. The record is from RNAcentral. Lineage: Bacteria; Pseudomonadati; Pseudomonadota; Gammaproteobacteria; Vibrionales; Vibrionaceae.
CGGUGAAGUAGGUGAACAAGCUGGAAAGCUUGGCGAUACAGGGUGAUAGCCCCGUAACCGACGCUUCAUCGAGCGUGAAAUCGAGUAGGGCGGGACACGUGAUAUCCUGUCUGAAUAUGGGGGGACCAUCCUCCAAGGCUAAAUACUCCUGACUGACCGAUAGUGAACCAGUACCGUGAGGGAAAGGCGAAAAGAACCCCUGUGAGGGGAGUGAAAUAGAACCUGAAACCGUGUACGUACAAGCAGUAGGAGCACCUUCGUGGUGUGACUGCGUACCUUUUGUAUAAUGGGUCAGCGACUU